Molecule: ribosomal RNA, 1474 nt
Filed under: Triticum aestivum (bread wheat)
Lineage: Eukaryota; Viridiplantae; Streptophyta; Magnoliopsida; Poales; Poaceae
Description: partial small subunit ribosomal RNA
Source: RNAcentral
UAUGUGCAUGCAAUACGGUGGAUACAAUGAGGUUGGAUGCAUUAUGAGGGACAUUUACAAUUUCUACCAUGCUAACAAGCAGGAAUCAAUUGCUUCCGGGGAUGCUCAAACGGUCAUCAAUCACAUGGUGGCGAGGCAAGAGCGAGAUUCAGAUGUUUUCUUCAGGUACUUGGUUGAUGAAGCUGCCCAUCUGAAGGGACUGUUCUGGUGUGAUAGUCAAUCCCGCAUCGACUACGAGGCUUUCAAAGACGUUAUUCUUUUUGAUAGCACAUACAGAACCAAUAAGUACAAUCUACCAUUUGUGCCGUUUGUCGGGUUGAAUCACCAUCGCAGCACUGUUAUUUUUGCAUGUGGUGUCAUUUCACAUGAAACAAGUCAGGCAUACGAGUGGAUGUUAUGGACCUUUUCUGAUGCUACGGGACAGAAGUAUCCUAUAUCUGUGAUCACCGAUGGGGACCUUGCAAUGCAGAGAGCAAUCAGGGUGGUGUGGCCUGACUCAAACCAUAGGCUCUGUAUAUGGCACAUUCAGCAAAACAUUGCACGUCAUCUGCAUGAUGACGAGGUAAAGGAGGAAUUCAGAUUUUUCAUAUAUGAUACAUCUUCCAUUGAAGAGCAUGAGAGAAAAUGGUUACAGUUCUUACAACAGAAUAAAGUAACAAGUGAGGACUCCUGGCUGCAUCAGAUGUAUAAGAUGAGAAAACUGUGGUGUGCUCCAUAUCUUGAGGGGCGUUGUUUCCUAGGAUUGAGCAGCAAUCAGUGGAGUGAGAGUUCAAACUCGGUGCUACAUACGCAUCUUGAGGCUAAGAUGAUGUUGUUUCAAAUGCUAGAGCACUAUGAGCAUUGCCUUGCGUCGCGACGCUUGAACGAGGCUCUCCAAGACAUCGAGGCCUUGCAGUCCGUUCCAUUCACCGAGGAAAAUGCUUCAAGUCUUGAGAAACAUGCCGCAAAAGUUUUCACUCUUGUUGUGUUUAAGUUGGUCUUAUGGAGCAUAAAUGUUGUAAGAAAAUGUGAGAUCAGAGAGGUACUUGAUGCAGCAGAAGUUACCACAUACGUUGUGUCUAAGAAGGAAAGAAUGGAUAAAAUUAUCAAAGUGCGCACGGAGUCGAAGGAAGGUCCGCUUCGCAGUAUCAGUUGUUCUUGCCGCAAAUUGGAAUGCACAGGCACACCAUGUUCCCACAUAUUUUACAUAUUGGGAAUUUUACAAGAAGAAACACUGCCCAUGUGUUGUGUUCCCACUAGGUGGACAAUGAGUGCAAAAUGUGCAUUCACACCGACCAGAGAGAGCGAGAUGUAUGAAUACUCUGCAACCCUACAAAUGUACCGUAAGGUAAGGAAUUUUAGUCACGCAGCAUGUUUCAAAGCAUGCCACUCUGAUGAGGCGUUUCAGCAUGUAAAAAGUGUUUUGAAAGGACAAGAUGUUUGCAAGGGAUCAACAAGUGAACAAGCUGAUAGCAAGGUGUCAACUAAUGCUUAG